This 110-nucleotide ribosomal RNA is filed under the name uncultured bacterium. Its description in RNAcentral is "partial 16S ribosomal RNA". It matches the Rfam family "Bacterial small subunit ribosomal RNA", at positions 1373 to 1482 of the family's 1533-position model. The record is from RNAcentral.
CCCGGGCCUUGUACACACCGCCCGUCAAGUCAUGAAAGUCGGUAACACCCGAAGCCAGUGGCCCAACCGUAAGGAGGGAGCUGUCGAAGGUGGGAUCGGUGAUUAGGACU